GACAGAGGAUGCAAGCGUUAACAGGAAUUAUUGGGCGUAAAGAGUACGUAGGCGGCUUAUCCAGUCAGGGGUUAAAUCCCGCAGCUUAACUGCGGAUCAGCCUUUGAAACUGAUCGGCUAGAGUAUGGUAGGGGUAGAGGGAAUUCCCGGUGUAGCGGUGAAAUGCGUAGAUAUCGGGAAGAACACCUGUGGCGAAAGCGCUCUACUGGACCAUAACUGACGCUGAGGUACGAAAGCUAGGGGAGCGAAUGGG
This 253-nucleotide ribosomal RNA is filed under the name uncultured bacterium. RNAcentral's name for it is "partial 16S ribosomal RNA". It matches the Rfam family "Bacterial small subunit ribosomal RNA", at positions 524 to 776 of the family's 1533-position model. The record is from RNAcentral.